CGCUAGCGGUGCGCCUAACACAUGCAAGUCGAGCGGUAGAAUUAUUAUUGAAUCUUCGGAUGAUUUAAUAAUUUGAGAGCGGCGAACGGGUGAGUAACACGUUGGUAUCUGCCCCCAAGUCAGGGAUAGCCAUUGGAAACGAUGAUUAAUACCGGAUAGUCUCUUCGGAGUAAAGAUUUAUUGCUUGGGGAGGAACCUGCGUUCUAUCAGCUAGUUGGUGAGGUAAAAGCUCACCAAGGCUAUGACGGAUACCUGGUCUGAGAGGAUGAUCAGGCACAAUGGAACUGAGACACGGUCCAUACUCCUACGGGAGGCAGCAGUGAGGAAUCUUCCACAAUGGGCGAAAGCCUGAUGGAGCGACACCGCGUGAAGGAUGAAGGCCUAACGGUUGUAAACUUCUUUUCUGAAGGAGCAUAAUGAGAGUACUUCAGGAAUAAGGGACGGCUAUAUACGUGCCAGCAGCCGCGGUAAUACGUAUGUCUCGAGCGU
Molecule: ribosomal RNA, 489 nt
Filed under: uncultured bacterium
Lineage: Bacteria
Description: bacterial SSU rRNA
Rfam family: Bacterial small subunit ribosomal RNA
Source: RNAcentral